Long non-coding RNA from Sebastes umbrosus (honeycomb rockfish), 702 nucleotides. RefSeq lists it as uncharacterized. NCBI's taxonomy places the organism in Eukaryota, Metazoa, Chordata, Actinopteri, Perciformes, Sebastidae. The transcript is spliced from 4 exons. The record is from RefSeq and is a predicted model, not a curated record.
GCUCCGCUCUGCUGGGGCUGCUGGGUCCGCCGUCUACUUUCAACAAAUCCAGAUCUUUGAUUCCUAGAAGAAGAAAAGAGUCAGACUGGUACUGUAGGAGGGACAUUAUAUCUACGGCUUUGUAUUUGUGUCUCACUCAUGAGCAGGUCAGCCGUCAUGGACUUGGAUCGAAGUGUCAGCGAGGUGCUGGGGGCUCGUUUUGGAGGGGGCGGAGCUACAAGAUAAAAACCAACCACAAGAUCAAGGUUGGAUUCAGAUUUCCUGGAAACAGAGACGACCUUCAUCAGUAGUCGACUUCCUCCCUGUCGGAUCAGAGAGACGACCUGCCGGUGACCCACCUUCACCACGUCAGCACCGUUCACCUGGACCAGGACAGACAGCUCCUCCAUCCACCCAUCCUGCUGUUUCUACCUUUAGCUCCUCUGAGGACGAAGCCGAAUCCCUCGCUCUCUCUCUUCUGCAGCACGGCCGUCUUCUCCUCGAUCACAUAGUCACUAACAGAAAAUAACAGAAAUGUGUCACAAUAUUUUCAGGUCUUUUUAGUAGUUUAAUAAAUUGUAGAGUAAAUGCAUAGUGUGGAGUGAAUUAGAAAGCUCACUGCAGAUACUGAAAUGUAAUUGUACUUCCCUUAAAUUAUCGUCAAUGUAAAAAAAAAAACCUAACUUUUUUAAUAAAGUUGUACUAUAUACAGUAUGUGUUGUA